Molecule: small RNA, 74 nt
Organism: Polaribacter reichenbachii
Lineage: Bacteria; Pseudomonadati; Bacteroidota; Flavobacteriia; Flavobacteriales; Flavobacteriaceae
Rfam family: Flavo-1 RNA
Source: Rfam
GUCUAGCCCAGAUUGAAACGACAUCCUUUUUUUGUUUUUCUCAAAAAAAGAUAUAGUGAAAAGCUGGAAAUAGC